Molecule: ribosomal RNA, 114 nt
Filed under: Moramonas marocensis
Lineage: Eukaryota; Jakobea; Jakobida; Moramonadidae
Source: RNAcentral
CAGUAAUUAUUUUGUAUCCAUCUCAACACACGAACCCAUCUCGAACUCGAACUGUUAAAGGGGAUACGCCAUAUCUACUGCUUAUUAUGAGUGGAACAAAUAUGGUUAUUACUG